CAGCCGCCGCGGUAAUACGAAGGGUGCAAGCGUUACUCGGAAUUACUGGGCGUAAAGCGUGCGUAGGUGGUGGUUUAAGUCCGUUGUGAAAGCCCUGGGCUCAACCUGGGAAUUGCAGUGGAUACUGGGUCACUAGAGUGUGGUAGAGGAUAGUGGAAUUUCCGGUGUAGCAGUGAAAUGCGUAGAGAUCGGAAGGAACAUCUGUGGCGAAGGCGACUAUCUGGGCCAACACUGACACUGAGGCACGAAAGCGUGGGGAGCAAACAGGAUUAGAUACCCGUUAGUCCCUGUCUCUUAUACA
This 301-nucleotide ribosomal RNA is filed under the name uncultured bacterium. RNAcentral's name for it is "partial 16S ribosomal RNA". It matches the Rfam family "Bacterial small subunit ribosomal RNA", at positions 509 to 808 of the family's 1533-position model. The record is from RNAcentral.